RNAcentral lists this ribosomal RNA (532 nucleotides) under uncultured Bacillota bacterium. RNAcentral's name for it is "bacterial SSU rRNA". It matches the Rfam family "Bacterial small subunit ribosomal RNA", at positions 347 to 894 of the family's 1533-position model. The record is from RNAcentral. Lineage: Bacteria; Bacillati; Bacillota.
GGCAGCAGUGGGGAAUAUUGGGCAAUGGGCGCAAGCCUGACCCAGCAACGCCGCGUGAAGGAAGAAGGCUUUCGGGUCGUAAACUUCUUUUAAGAGGGAAGAGCAGAAGACGGUACCUGUAGAAUAAGCCACGGCUAACUACGUGUCAGCAGCCGCGGUAAUACGUAGGUGGCAAGCGUUGUCCGGAUUUACUGGGUGUAAGGGGCGUGCAGCCGGGUCUGCAAGUCAGAUGUGAAAUCCAUGGGCUCAACCCAUGAUCUGCAUUUGAAACUGUAGAUCUUGAGUGUCGGAGGGGCAAUCGGAAUUCCUAGUGUAGCGGUGAAAUGCGUAGAUAUUAGGAGGAACACCAGUGGCGAAGGCGGAUUGCUGGACGAUAACUGACGGUGAGGCGCGAAAGUGUGGGGAGCAAACAGGAUUAGAUACCCUGGUAGUCCACACUGUAAACGAUGAAUAUUAGGUGUGCGGGGACUGACCCCCUGCGUGCCGCAGUAAACACAAUAAGUAUUCCACCUGGGGAGUACGAUCGCAAGGU